AUCGUAUGAAACGAGGUUUCGUACGAUAUUAUCGGUGCGUGUAUGGCCAGCUUUACUGAAGUUGACCAACUAGAUGUAAUAGCUAACCUAUUUGCUAUGAGUUACAGCUCCAGAGUUUUGCCCCAGUUUUGUGAACUGCCCCAUAGUGUAGUGAAAUGUGAGCCUUUUCCUGCUGAUACUCGAUGCUUCACUGGCCUGUGCAUGUUGGGACAUGGGAGGUGCUGGCUCUUUGCCACCUUACCAUUAACAUAUAAUCCUUGUUAUGAUUGUGUUAUUAUGUUUUAGGACCAUAUUAAAGUGACAAAUUGCAUUGAAAUACAUGGGAUCAUAUUUUAAAUAAGGAGAUAAUAGCUGAGCCCCCUCAAGAAACUUUUGUUGGGUGGAAUUAAGCACUAAAUGUUCAAUCAGUUACAGUUGAUAUCACCAUUCUUUUUAUCUACAGAGGGUGACAAGGCUGAAGUUAGCGACUUUGCCAAGAACUUCCUCCCAAUGUGAAAAUUUAACGAAAUGGCGCAAAAUGACGCACAGGAAAUAAAAUGUUUUUCCUGCGCAUCAUUUCUUUAACUUGCAACAAUUUUUUUGUCAUGCGGUGAAAUUUUAUGCGCCCAUUUUUUUGCGCCCGUUUCAUGAAACAAUCCAUCAAUGGGAAAACACUGAAAUUCACUGCGAAUCCAUGCCUGCCGUUACAUUUUUCUCAUCACUACUGACAAACCCAAAUGAGGAGCCUGUCUUUGGUUUGAAACAAAUUGCAAGUUCAUUGACAGGAAUAUGGAUAACAUGCCCUGUGGGCCAUAUGCCUAAUAAGAGACAGUUUCAGCAAAAUAUCUAAAAGCGGGGUAAGUAAAAACAGAACUGUCUAAUGGUUCCUUUUUGUCAUCUAAAUUAUUUGUAGAUGGUUAGUGGGUUUUUGGAUAAAGCAACUGUCAAACUGACAGAAGCGGAGAGUGCAGAGCCCACAAGGUAAGAUUUCAUUUCAGUGCUUUAUGUGGUUGUUUUAAGUGUUUUCAAAAGAAUUUUUAAAUGGCUUCUGGUUAAGUAAUACUAAAGCUUGAAACCCACCUACGAUUUUCUUUAUAACAUUAAACCCAUUUAACGACCUAUUUUCUCCUUACAAUUAAAGAAAUGGCUUUUCUUCUUGAAUGUCCUUUUUUGAACAGUAAAAAAAACUGCUGGUGAUGGCAUUCACAUUUGUAGUAAUUUCAUACUGUGCUGUCAUUUCUGGAGACAAUUUUAUAGCCUUAUAUUAAUUACAUAGGUGUUUUAUUUUGGUAAAAAUCACAGUAGGAAAUGGAACAAGCAUGGAAAAUAGUUUAUGCAGCCUGCCUCAUAUUAUAGAUCUUUUUGCAGUUGUAUAGUAAAGCUCUGUGCAUCCUUAGGCAGUUUUCUUGUAGACAUUGCAGAUAUCAAUGCAGAUAUUUUGGCAUUGAAACGGACAGUAGGACAGCAGUAUAGAGUGUUCAGUCUGUUCUUGGAUAUAAUGCUUGUCUUGUGAUCCAACUUGCUCAGUUUGUAGCUGAUAGAAGAAAAAUCUCUAUUCUAAAAUGUGUGUCUGUAAUUCCUGCUUUUUAUAUCACAAUACAGUACCCCAAACUUUGUAAGGGCUGGAACUCUACUUGUGUCAGUGAGAGUAGGGGCUUUCCUAGCAGGCAGAGAAUGAGCAGUUUAUUAUGUGUGCGGUAGCCUCCUAGAGACUUACAUCUUAGUGUGAACCUACAAGUUUCUUUUAUUUUGUACCUUUUACUUUACACCAACCUUCAGCCUACACAGUGCUGCUAAUAUUAGGCUGCUGUUUUGUUAUGUACUAUUGUAAUACAUUAUUGGCAGUUAUUUGAGGAUGUGAACCUAUGGUCAAUCAAUUGAAAUAAUACAUUGAGAUGCGUACCGGUGCUAUAUUGGAUCAGGCCACGAGAUGGCAGUAAUUGCUAGAUAUAUAUAGAGGUAGGUUGGUAAAGCUGAAACAUGUUGUGCUGAAAGUGCUGCAAUAUAAGUCACUAGGGGAAGGACAUAAGUUGCCCAGUCUGCUCUCUGGGUUAUGCUUUUUGCAUUACUUGUGACUUCUGCAACUAACACGGGGUUGCUACCUGUUUAGGAACAUGUACAUGCUUAUAUAAGGACAGUUUGGUGUAUGAAUUAUAAUUAAGCUGCAGUUUCAUGAAGGGGAGAGAUUAGAGAUAUAUAUUGCUUGCAAAAAUAAUUGCAUAUACCUGUCACUCUUAUUUAUCUACAUACUCUGCUUCCUUUCCCUUUUCUGGGCAGUAUAAAUCUACUUACAGGGUUUCCAUAUCUGCAAAGAGCAUCCCCCCCGGGCUGUAUGUAUCUGCUUACAGAUUGCUCUUGCUGUUACCAUUUACCUUCAAGCUGUGCACAGACGGCUUACUAAAGGAUUCCUUUUCCUGUGCGCAGAAGCUUUGCCUGGUGCUGUGUUUUUUAGACACAUUACUUGCUCUUCGAGGGAUAACGACGUGGAGAUAACUUGUCCAGUCAGUUAGCCACUGUGCAUCCAUUUGCCUGCUUAUUCUGUGCUGGGAGAAUGGAAUAUACUGUAUUUCCUCCAUCCCCACACAGCUGAGUAGAGAAUCGCAAACUUUUUUCCCUUUUCAAUAACAUUAUGGCUGAAUGUCUGACAGACGGCAAUGUUUUCCUAAGUAUGUUGCUUUCUUAUGAGCUAAGUGGGUUCCUUGCCAAAGGCUGGAUCUUUAAGGGGCAAACUUGAACAGAAAAAGUGCACCAACCGUUGAGCAUUAAAGAUAAGUCAAACCUUGUUAUUUAUGUCUUUUUAACAUUUAAGAGCUAAAGCCAAGGAUUCCAGCACCAGUCAUCAAACACCCACUGCAGCGCAGACUUUCAUUAAUACCUCUCACAACAUUUGAUGAAUCGGUGGAUUAAAAGUAAAGAAAUCUCUUUGAAAGGAUGUGACUCCUUUAUUAAUGAAUUGAUUAGAUAGAAGCUAUAGAAAAUAUCGACAGUGACAUGAGGCGCUUCUUCCGCGUGAAGCUUAAAAACAUCUUCAACAAGUUCAUUCGAAAGUUUGGUAUGGAAGACAUUUUGGCUGAUUCUGAUGAAGAAGUAGAGGAAGAGGAAGAGAAACCAACCAAACAACAAAAGAAACGGGCCCGGCAGAAGAGCCAGGCUUGGCUUAAAGAAGGGGGGGAAGAUGACCCAGUAAAUUUCCUUGAUC
This is a long non-coding RNA of Xenopus tropicalis (tropical clawed frog), 3178 nucleotides long. RefSeq lists it as uncharacterized. Lineage: Eukaryota; Metazoa; Chordata; Amphibia; Anura; Pipidae. The transcript has 3 exons. The record is from RefSeq and is a predicted model, not a curated record.